Nannospalax galili (Upper Galilee mountains blind mole rat) is the source of this 3100-nucleotide long non-coding RNA. RefSeq lists it as uncharacterized. The transcript is spliced from 3 exons. The record is from RefSeq and is a predicted model, not a curated record. NCBI's taxonomy places the organism in Eukaryota, Metazoa, Chordata, Mammalia, Rodentia, Spalacidae.
CAGGCGUCAGGCCAGACACUGGGAGUUUAUCCUGAGAGCCUGGCCGCACGCUGACAAGGGGUGAUUGGGGACCCAUUUAAAGCUCUAAAAGAUGCUAUUUGCCUUGAGCACUGCAUGGCUCAAAGGCCAAGGUCAAACUAAGUCUCCCUUAUCCUCUGCUUCCUGCCCAUGGCCUAAAGAUUCUUUCAAAGCCUUCUUGACUAAAGCUGUCCCAAACGAGCUGGACAUUUUGCGUAGGUGGGGACCUGAGGAGAAUUGUCCCAAGGGUGGCUCUCAUUGAAGGCCACUGAGCUCUCUGCUUGACACUCAUGGAUCCAUCAGAUGUCAAGGGCACUGCUGAGCCCAUUUUUACAGAGGAGAAAGCAGAGGAUAGAGAACGUUGGUGUUCGUAGUCUCACAGCUAAAAUGUACAACAGCUGGCAGUCAACCUCAAGCAUGUCUGAACGAGAAGAUGCAGUCCAUGGGCCCACACUCAACAAGAACACAGACCAUCAUGGUGCCAGCACUGAACCUGAAGCUGCCGAGCUAGAUGCCGUUUUUCAGUACUUACUGCCCUGCAUAUCAUUUUCUGGCAUAGAGAGCUAUUCCACAUUACAGCUAAUAAAAUGUUCCUGCACGGCUCUUCUUAAGGACCCUCUUUAAUUGAUGAGAACUACAGAGUCCAGUCCACACUGACUGGACCCUCAGCACUCAGUUGUCAAUUGGCCCGACCUGGAAUGGGCUCAACUUGCUGUGUGGCCUUCAGGAAACUGAGCAACAUCUCUGUGCUAUUUCCUCAUUUGUGCUAACUCAUUCCUGAGGCUUUCUGUUUCUGCUGCUGCUGCUGCUGCUGCUUCAAUUUGACACUGACCUUGACCAAAUCAUAAAUGCCCAGUUAAUGGGACAAAAAUGAGUUGGAAUCUAGGAUUCUGGUCAUUAACCCCAUGUCACCAUCUGCUGGAGCAGGAUGAGGGCAGAGCCGGGGGAUUGGAGAUCACCCAGUAUUUGUCAGACAUGCAGACUCCUGCUCGCUUUCUUCCCCUUCCUAUGUCACCCCCUCCCCCAGGCUCAGUCUGUAGGGAUGGGGCUCUGUGUGACUGACUGCCUUUGGUGGUGGUGGAAGGCAGCUCAAGACCUCACCCAGGACCAGUCACGUGGGGCCUGACCAGAAGCUCCUCCUGCUCCCCAGCCCUGCCAAGCUGCUCUGGUAGAGUUUCAUGCCGUUUCCCUCUGCCUGGAAAAGAGCCCCAGCACCAUAGCUCCUCUAUGUCACCUCUUGAGAGAGGCCUUGGCUGGCUGCUCCACCUCCAUCUGCACCUCUACUCCCCCCCACCCCCAGCUGCCCCACCGCAUGCUUCCCCUCUCCUCAUGUUUGGUAAAUUGUCUUGUCUCUUUGUAAAGUAUCUGUUGCUCCUACUAGAAUAUAAGUCCCUGUAUCCAUCUCUACUCAGGGGCAGGCACCCUGCCUGGGUGGUUGGAGGCUGUGUGCCUUGCCAGAGGUUUGAGGAGAAUUCAUGAGUCAUCUCUGGUUCCUAAGGUUGCAGUAAUGGGGACUCUCUGCCAUCCCUGGAGAUCUGGGGCCCUGCCUUAAGGAAGAUAGGGGUUCCUCCACUCCUUAUCCUGUUCCUUACUGCUCCAACCCAGAGACUCAGCUGCCAUCGUUUUACCAGAAAGCCCUGCUGUCAAGGAUGCAGACCAGGUAUCUCUCGCUUCCUAAUCUGUAUGAACAUGGGUACAGGUGAGAGCUGGGACUAAGGAGCUAGAGCUGUGUGUCUGCCCCAUUAGGAGGCAAUUUCACCCUCUCUCCACCCAGCACUUGUGACUGGGCAGCCAUGGAUUCUCUACUACCCUCUACACAGGAUGCUAAUAGCAAAAAGAAAUGAUAUAAACAGUAGGCAUUCAAUAAAUGCUGGCUGGUGUGAUGUGAGCAAUGCAAUUCACAACACUAAACUACUUUACCUUUGAUCCAUUUUUCAAUAACAAAAAGUUUAUAAUGAGUCCUUGCCUUGUAGUAUGGAAUUAGUUGCCUUUAACUUUGAUUUUGUUUACUUUAAUGAGACAUACCUCCCUUUAGUCUCUGAGUCACAUGGGUGAAUCCCUCCCCACUGGACCAAAGAAAGGCUUCUAAACCAUGUCUGUCCACAGCCACUUUGAUCCUGAGAGUCCUUUAAUCUAGCGCAUGUGUUUAAAGAUACCACAUGAACAUCCUCACUUACCUAAACAAAGUGAGCCCCAGGGGGAGGAGGGUACCCAACCCAGGAGGCCCUGGAUUCUGAUUUGAUGUCAAGUCAUUGCCCAGCACCCAGGGAGCGAGAGUCCAGCCCACCCUCCGUCCUGUCCUCACUGUGACGUGUCUCAAAGCAUCAUUCUUUCAUACUGUCUGUGCGCAUCCUCCUUUUCUAGUCUGCCUCCAGCCCUCUCUCCCCUGAGAAGGAAGUAGAAGAAAGAUACCAUUGGUGUUUGUUUUCUCUCAGCCACUCAGUCCCUGGAGCCGACUGUUUCACAACCAAGGGGAAAAGCACAGAGAGGCUUGAAGUCCAUAGGCCACAGUCGGCUUUCAACAAAAACUUUAUUAGUACCACCUUGGUCAUAGGUGAGCUGGAUUGGGGGGGGCUGGAGCCCGCCUGCUGGCUCUGAGUGGAGCUGCCUCUCCCUCUUGUGUUCUACGUGUGGGUUGCAGCCUGAGCUUCCACAGCGGCUGCAUCCUGCAGCCCUCUGAGCACUUCCCCAGCCUUUUUUCACCCAUACUGUGCCCCCCGUUCAUCCAUCUGCUUUUUAAAAAAGUGCCCAGGUGUGCCCCCGUUUGAGUUCACUUGCAUUUGAUGUCUGUUCUGUAUCUUUUCUACAAGCAAUUGUGUAUUUGUUUGAAUUCAUUUAUUCUCUAGGUCUCUUAAAGCACCAAUGAAACCAACACACAGCAUUGGGAAUGAAAAACGAAAUCUCAACCCUGUGAUCCCAACACAUUGAAAUGGGAAUUAAAAAAGACAUCAGGAUUGAGAGACAGAAAGGAGAACUAAAUCUGUGUCCACCUUUGUACAUCAACACAACUUACAUUCCAAAUUCAUAAUGCAGUAACAUGUAGAUGCGACACAGGGCCAUGACAUCUGUACACCACAGACAC